This 319-nucleotide ribosomal RNA is filed under the name uncultured eukaryote. Its description in RNAcentral is "partial 18S ribosomal RNA". It matches the Rfam family "Eukaryotic small subunit ribosomal RNA", at positions 1470 to 1796 of the family's 1831-position model. The record is from RNAcentral.
CCCUUAGAUGUUCUGGGCAGCACGCGCGCUACAAUGGUCUUCGCAAACGGAUGCAUUCUCGAAGGAGAAUGCCAAUCUUGGAAUCUAUGCCUUGGCCGGGACAGUUGCUUGCAAUUUUUCGACUCGAACCAGGAAUUCCUUGUAAUCGUGAUUCAUCACAUCACGAUGAAUACGUCCCUGCCCUUUGUACACACCGCCCGUCGCUCCUACCGAUCGAAGAGUUAGGUGAAUUGUUUUGAUCGAUAAGAUUUGACUAUGGUCAACUCUCGUUGUGAAAUUCUGUGAAUCUGACUGUUUAGAGGAAGGAAAAGUCGUAACA